GUCCCGUUAGCUCAGUUGGUUAGAGCGUCGUGCUAAUAACGCGAAGGUCGUGGGUUCGAUCCCCCCACGGGCCA
This 74-nucleotide transfer RNA is filed under the name Schistocerca americana (American grasshopper). RNAcentral's name for it is "tRNA-Ile". It matches the Rfam family "tRNA". Rfam says of the family: Transfer RNA (tRNA) molecules are approximately 80 nucleotides in length. Their secondary structure includes four short double-helical elements and three loops (D, anti-codon, and T loops). Further hydrogen bonds mediate the characteristic L-shaped molecular structure. tRNAs have two regions of fundamental functional importance: the anti-codon, which is responsible for specific mRNA codon recognition, and the 3' end, to which the tRNAs corresponding amino acid is attached (by aminoacyl-tRNA synthetases). tRNAs cope with the degeneracy of the genetic code in two manners: having more than one tRNA (with a specific anti-codon) for a particular amino acid; and 'wobble' base-pairing, i.e. permitting non-standard base-pairing at the 3rd anti-codon position. The record is from RNAcentral. Lineage: Eukaryota; Metazoa; Arthropoda; Insecta; Orthoptera; Acrididae.